This 492-nucleotide ribosomal RNA is filed under the name uncultured bacterium. RNAcentral describes it as "partial 16S ribosomal RNA". It matches the Rfam family "Bacterial small subunit ribosomal RNA", at positions 28 to 507 of the family's 1533-position model. The record is from RNAcentral.
GAUGAACGCUAGCUACAGGCUUAACACAUGCAAGUCGAGGGGAAACGACAUCGAAAGCUUGCUUUUGAUGGGCGUCGACCGGCGCACGGGUGAGUAACGCGUAUCCAACCUGCCCAUCACUUGGGAAUAACCUUGCGAAAGUAAGACUAAUACCCAAUGAUAUCCCACGAAGGCAUCGGAAUGGGAUUAAAGAUUUAUCGGUGAUGGAUGGGGAUGCGUCUGAUUAGCUUGUUGGCGGGGUAACGGCCCACCAAGGCAACGAUCAGUAGGGGUUCUGAGAGGAAGGUCCCCCACAUUGGAACUGAGACACGGUCCAAACUCCUACGGGAGGCAGCAGUGAGGAAUAUUGGUCAAUGGGCGAGAGCCUGAACCAGCCAAGUAGCGUGCAGGAAGACGGCCCUAUGGGUUGUAAACUGAUUUUAUAAGGGAAUAAAGUGGGUCACGUGUGACUUUUUGCAUGUACCUUAUGAAUAAGGACCGGCUAAUUCCGUG